Bemisia tabaci is the source of this 334-nucleotide long non-coding RNA. RefSeq lists it as uncharacterized. NCBI's taxonomy places the organism in Eukaryota, Metazoa, Arthropoda, Insecta, Hemiptera, Aleyrodidae. The record is from RefSeq and is a predicted model, not a curated record.
AGGGUAAUAGGGCAGCGGUGAUUGUUUGCAAGUUUUUGAGCACAAACACGGAGGAGUACUUUCUAGAGGAGCUGAAAACUUUCGUAUUCCGACAAAAUUGUUUGCUCCUUGACUUCGUGGCAACGGAUAUCUUAAAAUUGAAACUGCCUCUACUGACAUCGGUGUUCGGGUGGUCAGCAACUUACUUGUUGAUCUCAAUCCAAAUUCGAAACGCUGUUUCCGUUUUGUAAAUAAAUUAGAAUAAAAUGUAAAAAAUAAAAGAGAAAAAACUUACUUCCAAUAGAUCCAAUUAUCACCUCAUGCUGUACUCCCCUUCUUUUGAUGUAAUAUGAAA